This 460-nucleotide ribosomal RNA is filed under the name uncultured bacterium. RNAcentral describes it as "partial 16S ribosomal RNA". It matches the Rfam family "Bacterial small subunit ribosomal RNA", at positions 338 to 795 of the family's 1533-position model. The record is from RNAcentral.
CCUACGGUGGGCAGCAGUGAGGAAUAUUGGUCAAUGGUCGGGAGACUGAACCAGCCAAGCCGCGUGAGGGAGGAAGGUACAGAGUAUCGUAAACCUCUUUUGUCAGGGAACAAAGACUUGGACGCGUCCCCGGAUGAGUGUACCUGAAGAAAAAGCAUCGGCUAACUCCGUGCCAGCAGCCGCGGUAAUACGGAGGAUGCGAGCGUUAUCCGGAUUUAUUGGGUUUAAAGGGUGCGCAGGGGGUUUGUUAAGUCAGGGGGCAAAGCCCGGGGCUCAACCCCGGCACGGCCGUUGAAACUGGCAGUCUUGAGUUGGAGAGAAGUAGGCGGAAUGCGCGGUGUAGCGGUGAAAUGCAUAGAUAUCGCGCAGAACUCCGAUUGCGAAGGCAGCACGCCGGCUCCACACUGACGCUGAGGCACGAAAGCGUGGGUAUCGAACAGGAUUAGAUACCCCAGUAGUC